This 253-nucleotide ribosomal RNA is filed under the name uncultured bacterium. RNAcentral describes it as "partial 16S ribosomal RNA". It matches the Rfam family "Bacterial small subunit ribosomal RNA", at positions 524 to 776 of the family's 1533-position model. The record is from RNAcentral.
UACGUAGGGGGCAAGCGUUGUCCGGAAUUAUUGGGCGUAAAGAGCGUGUAGGCGGUCCGGUAAGUCAGAUGUGAAAUCCCAGGGCUCAACCCUGGAACUGCCUUCUAGACUGCAGGCCUCGAGGUCAGGAGAGGCGAGUGGAAUACCGAGUGUAGAGGUGAAAUUCGUAGAUAUUCGGUGGAACACCAGUGGCGAAGGCGACUCGCUGGACUGAUACUGACGCUGAGGUGCGAAAGCGUGGGGAGCAAACAGG